RNAcentral lists this ribosomal RNA (429 nucleotides) under uncultured bacterium. RNAcentral's name for it is "bacterial SSU rRNA". It matches the Rfam family "Bacterial small subunit ribosomal RNA", at positions 355 to 775 of the family's 1533-position model. The record is from RNAcentral.
UGGGGAAUUGUUCACAAUGGGCGCAAGCCUGAUGACGCAACGCCGCGUGGGGGAUGAAGGUCUUCGGAUUGUAAACCCCUGUCGAAUGGGACGAAAGACUCGCGAGUUAAUACUGCGCGAGAGUGACGGUACCGUUAAAGGAAGCCACGGCUAACUCUGUGCCAGCAGCCGCGGUAAUACAGAGGUGGCAAGCGUUGUUCGGAAUUACUGGGCGUAAAGGGCGCGUAGGCGGCCUACUAAGUCAGACGUGAAAUCCCCCGGCUUAACCUGGGAACUGCGUCUGAUACUGGAAGGCUUGAGGAUGGGAGAGGGAUGUAGAAUUCCAGGUGUAGCGGUGAAAUGCGUAGAUAUCUGGAGGAAUACCGGUGGCGAAGGCGGCAUCCUGGACCAUUACUGACGCUGAGGCGCGAAAGCUAGGGGAGCAAACGG